UAACUGGAGGGAAGGUGGGGAUGACGUCAAAUCAUCAUGCCCCUUAUGACCUGGGCUACACACGUGCUACAAUGGACAGAACAAAGGGCUGCAAGACCGCAAGGUUUAGCCAAUCCCAUAAAUCUGUUCUCAGUUCGGAUCGCAGUCUGCAACUCGACUGCGUGAAGCUGGAAUCGCUAGUAAUCGCGGAUCAGCAUGCCGCGGUGAAUACGUUCCCGGGCCUUGUACACACCGCCCGUCACACCACGAGAGUUUGCAACACCCGAAGUCGGUGAGGUAACCUUUAUGGAGCCAGCCGCCGAAGGUGGGGCAGAUGAUGGGGUAAGUCGAAUAAUUUGAUAA
This 342-nucleotide ribosomal RNA is filed under the name Bacillus pumilus. RNAcentral's name for it is "bacterial SSU rRNA". It matches the Rfam family "Bacterial small subunit ribosomal RNA", at positions 1159 to 1499 of the family's 1533-position model. Lineage: Bacteria; Bacillati; Bacillota; Bacilli; Caryophanales; Bacillaceae. The record is from RNAcentral.